UAAUAAACAAUAAAGUUGUAUAAAAUGAAAACAUGCUUUGUGACCUAUCUGUACCCUGCCAGUGAUUUCUAUUCAUUUUCUUCACUUAAUUUCCUCUGCAAUUACACAAAGUCUAAAGGUGACGUCCCCAGGAGCAGGACAUGAAUGAAGGGUACAUAGUGGUCUUAUAAAAGACCCAUUCAGGUUUGGCUGUGAGUGGGACUCUUAAAGCCAAGUCGAGUCCACUUUUAAUAGCAGAUUAGGAAAUCUUCUGGAUGAGAGAUGUGAGGACCUGGAACCCAUGGUUAUUAUCUGGGAACUCUUACUGAGGUCACGUGGCCUGGAAAACAGCUGCAUAAAAAAUUGCAUCUAAUUCUCUGUUCGUGAGAAUGAAUUCUUCAUGUUCUGGUGGUUCUCAUGAGUUGGUUUGGGGUUGCAUGCAUAGGAUUUAUAAAGUUUUUAAGUGUUUUUGUGUUGUUUUUUUCUGUAUAUAUUAAAAAUGUAAGCAAUGUUUUUUUAAGAAAACAAAUCAUGCUAAACCAGAGGAAACAAAAGUGAUUUACAAUUCAGAGGGGUUUAAAUUAGUUUGGAUGUGGUUUGUAAUGACACAAACUGCAGUGUGUGUUUAAAAAGAAAUAUAAAAACAAAUUAGCAAUUUGUUUGCAAAAUUUGAAACAUAAAUCUUUUAAAUGUUACCAUGCAGGAAUCUUUAAUAAUCAUAACUCAUCAUCACCAUAACUUCAAUGGUACAAUGUUCAGUUUCAAUACAACUAUAUUCAAUUUCCAGUUUCUACCUUUGUCUUUUAUCCUCUUUGCAGUAGAUUUUUGCCCACUUGGCAUUCACAUCUCCUCUGCAAUGUUUCCUUCACUCUCCUUCUCUUCAUUGUUCCUCUCACCACUUCUCUCGCUUCAACUUCUACACCAUCUCUCCUCCUCCUCUUCCUCUCUGAUCCCCCUCUUUUUCUCAUCACCGUCCUCUGUUCAGUCUCCCACAUCCUCUUGGAUUCCUCUCUUGGUCUCAUGCUCAUGACUCAUCAUCCCACAUGGAAACAUUUUCUCUGUGAAUGUGAGAGAGAUUUUACUGCUGUUAAUGAAAAUUUAAACAAACAACCCCCACCCCCACCCCCACCCCCAAUGCGGAGCAAAGGGAAAAAGUGAAAAAAGGGAAAUCUGCUUUUUCUCCUCUUAUCCAAAUAUUGCUACUUUUGAUGAAAGCUUUAUAAACUUGUCUAUGAUGCAUUAGCAUUUAGUAUCUGGUAAUGGCAAACAACAUGUGAAAUGUCAGACAAUUUGUCAGUGAAGACUGCCCCCUAGUGGCUCAUCCCGUCCCUUAUGUAACAUCUUCCCCUAUCCAAGGCAUUCCCUGUUAGGUUAAACCUCUCAGCUAUCAUGAGGCUGCUUAACAGAUCAUCUCCACCUGAUUUAGACAUUGCCAGAACUGCUGAACUAUGUCAUUUCCAGACUCCACCUGCACAAACUAUAUUUUUAAAAAGUUAUUAUAUUUAUUUAAUGUGUAUGAAUUCAUAAUAUGUACAUAGUUAUCACUAUCACAUUUAUCCAACAGCUCCAGUUACUAGUUACUUUUCAGUUUAAGAUUUUACUGGAGAAAAGAAACCAACAUGAUAAAAUGCAUCAUGUUGUGGAAUAUCAACCUUCCUUCUCCUUCCUAAAUGUUUUGGCUUGUGUCUCAAAAAACAGUGUCUGGGGCUUGUUGUCACAUUUCAAAUGUCUAAGAGUUCUUCAGCCUCUCAUUUAAACAACUGUUUGAGGCACAAUAUGUAAAAAGAUCCAGUUUUCCACAAAAAAGCACAGACUGCAGAACAAUACAAAAUCAACAGGUACACACUUUUGAAGCAGAAUUUAGUUUUUCUUUUGUCUUGUGACCGUUACAAAAGGCCCCACUCUUACACUUGAAACCACUGAACUAACAUGCCUAUAAAGUAGUUAAAACCAGCUCUACCUCAAAGAGCUACAUCAGUAAAACAUUGCUCACACAUUAAUGUAUCAGUAUUAACAACCCAAUAAUGUCACCCGAGAGCCUUGCAGUCCUCUGUAACAUCAUGUGAUUGGCAUGUUCUAUGAUGCAAUGCAGAGGACACCUUUGACCCCUGGAAAAAAUGACCUCACAAAACAUAGACUCUAAGUGAACAUCUGGGUGAAAGACACUAGGACACUGACUCGGUUGAAAUCCCAUAACUUUUCUUUUUUUUCACCAUAACACACACAAAAAGAAACAAAUCUAUCCAGUAAGAUCUUUCCAGUAAUCUUUCCUCUCUUUUUUAGUUUCUUCUGUGUUCAUGUUAACUGUCUCUACAAUCUGCUAUCUGUCUGGAGGCUCACUGUAAACAAAAAUAAGAGGAUUAUACAAAUAAUACAAAACAGCAAUCUCAACCAGUUCAAGGUAAACAGGUUGGACUGGAAACAUCUGAGCGACAAAGACCUCUGCGGUGUAAACCAUGACACUUGUGUUUGACAGCAUAUUCUUGGAUUGGUGCAACCAGCAGUGACUGGUGAGUUCUGUUUAUACAGUUAAUGUUACCAUUUUUAGAGUUGAACUCUGCAUGCCAUGACCUUUAACCUUUACUGAAGCAAGUAGCUACUGCUGCUUGCCUCUGUGGGGCACUUCACUUUGAGGCUGAAAUACAGGUCAUGCAUUACACAGGAUGAACAAAAAAAGAUCACAAUUUUAAAAAAAUUGUCUAAAUCCUAACUGGCCUUCUUCAUUGAACCAAUAUGUGACUAUUAAACCCUGCUGCUGGACCCACAGCAGUAAAAAUCCAAUAAACCUAUUCUGAAAACACAGCAUGACCUUACGUCCUCACUUCAAAGCAUUCUUCUAGCUGGUUCACAACAUUGCCUUGACAUAUUUUAUGUAUUAUAUGAAUGUGCAAAAUGGUGUCAGUUAUCCACACGCAUCAAGUUACCUAGCAUUAAUGGUCUGAAAGGGUUUUAAGGAGCACCAGAACUGUUCUGUAAAGACUGAUUUAGUAUCCACAUGCAGGAUAGAAGCUCAUGUUUUUCAAACAAACUCAUUUUCCUCACCAGUUAAGUUAAAGAUGUGCAGAGAUUUGUGCUGCACUGGGCUUCUUCCCUGUGUGUAUGAAACCUGUCAGUGUACAAAUAUUUACAGAAACUUUACAUUCACUGGCUAGUCAUUGAAAGUAAUCAGGGUUCAAUUGUGGAGCAUUUACAAAAUUCACAAAUUCAUCAAACACAUUCCUCAAAGUUUUAGAACAUUGUCACAGUUUUUUUUUAAAAUGUACACAGUUCAAGUCCAGUGCAUAACCUUGAAAAGUUAAGCUGCUCCAGGUUAAAGAUAGAUAAAUAAAAAUAAGGUACUAAUACCUAGAUCAGCAAAGUGAUUAAAAGCUUUAAAACAAAUGUGAAAUAAAAAGUGCAGUAUUUCCCUCCUAAAUAUAGUGGAGUAAAAUAA
Molecule: long non-coding RNA, 3412 nt
Organism: Lates calcarifer (barramundi perch)
Lineage: Eukaryota; Metazoa; Chordata; Actinopteri; Centropomidae
Exons: 2
Source: RefSeq, a predicted model, not a curated record